Molecule: long non-coding RNA, 222 nt
Filed under: Rattus norvegicus (Norway rat)
Lineage: Eukaryota; Metazoa; Chordata; Mammalia; Rodentia; Muridae
Description: long non-coding RNA NONRATT033091
Source: RNAcentral
GUAGAACUCACUUUCCCUUCAGUUAGCACAAACAGAUCUGAGCCUGGUAAUACCUACUCAAGCUUCCUACGUGGAACUGGCACCAAAACUGAAGUUUUCUCAGGGCGGUCACUUACUAGAUAAGAAAGGCCUGCUGUUUCCCUCUGUGCCCAGAGCUGACACUGAGCCAUAGUCCUCUGUACCUGGUCCCGCUGGGAGAGGGAUGUGCUCCCAGGACUGCUG